ACAUGGGGAGCUUGCUCUCUGAUGGCGAGUGGCGAACGGGUGAGUAACAUAUCGGAACGUGCCUAGUAAUGGGGAAAAACUAAUUGAAAGAUUAGCUAAUACCGCAUACGCCCUACGGGGGAAAGCAGGGGAUCUUCGGACCUUGCGUUAUUGGAGCGGCCGAUAUCUGAUUAGCUUGUUGGUAGGGUAAAGGCCUACCAAGCCGACGAUCAGUAGCUGGUCUGAGAGGACGAUCAGCCACACUGGAACUGAGACACGGUCCAGACUCC
Molecule: ribosomal RNA, 269 nt
Filed under: uncultured bacterium
Lineage: Bacteria
Description: partial 16S ribosomal RNA
Rfam family: Bacterial small subunit ribosomal RNA
Source: RNAcentral